This is a non-coding RNA of Solobacterium moorei F0204, 100 nucleotides long. NCBI's taxonomy places the organism in Bacteria, Bacillati, Bacillota, Erysipelotrichia, Erysipelotrichales, Erysipelotrichaceae. The record is from Rfam.
UCCAUCGUGAGGUGGAACCGGAAGAAAGAAUUAGGUAAACUGUUGACCCGAGGGUCACAAAUCUCAAUUAAGGUGGGUAUAUGGCAGGAAAGAUGUAUGU